This 468-nucleotide ribosomal RNA is filed under the name uncultured bacterium. RNAcentral's name for it is "partial 16S ribosomal RNA". It matches the Rfam family "Bacterial small subunit ribosomal RNA", at positions 28 to 507 of the family's 1533-position model. The record is from RNAcentral.
GACGAACGCUGGCGGCGUGCUUAACACAUGCAAGUCGAACGGAAAGGCCCUGCUUUUGUGGGGUGCUCGAGUGGCGAAGGGGUGAGUAACACGUGAGUAACCUGCCCUUGACUUUGGGAUAACUUCAGGAAACUGGGGCUAAUACCGGAUAGGAGCUCCUGCUGCAUGGUGGGGGUUGGAAAGUUUCGGCGGUGGGGGAUGGACUCGCGGCUUAUCAGCUUGUUGGUGGGGUAGUGGCUUACCAAGGCUUUGACGGGUAGCCGGCCUGAGAGGGUGACCGGCCACAUUGGGACUGAGAUACGGCCCAGACUCCUACGGGGGGCAGCAGUGGGGAAUAUUGCACAAUGGGCGGAAGCCUGAUGCAGCAACGCCGCGUGCGGGAUGACGGCCUUCGGGUUGUAAACCGCUUUCGCCUGUGACGAAGCGUGAGUGACGGUAAUGGGUAAAGAAGCACCGGCUAACUACGUG